Molecule: long non-coding RNA, 1207 nt
Organism: Toxorhynchites rutilus septentrionalis
Lineage: Eukaryota; Metazoa; Arthropoda; Insecta; Diptera; Culicidae
Exons: 3
Source: RefSeq, a predicted model, not a curated record
CCGAACGAUUUAGUCAGCUAGUUUUUCGUCUCUUCAAUUAACUUCAUAUGGCAAUACCAUUUUUUUCCUCGAUUACAGUUGUACUAGUUUUUUCUGUUGAGUUCACGCUACUUUUCGCUGGAGACCGGAGCUGAAAAGCAUUGAUGGUCAGUAACAGACUGACUUACAGGUCAGGAUCUGCAAAUAGAUGAAGAGUCAAUUUUUUGACGAUGAAAACAUAUGACCCCGAAACAUGCGUGAGAACUUUCCAGAACUAGAUAUUAACUGUUCCUUCGAAAAUUUGAUUGGAUAAAACCAAUCAAAUUUUCGAAAAUUUAGCAGGGAAUGAUGUAGCAUGUACCACAAAUUACUUUGGAGAACCCCUCGUACUAUUUCUUCAGCUCAGAAUCAACAGCGGUGUGUGCUUCUGAGUGUCUUUCUCUGUGUAGAAUGAGAUGCAUGGCAAUGCGAGUGCCAUUCCCAUUUUCGAUUUGGGCGGCUGACCAUAUUGAGUACCAGGUGUAACUCGACGGCUCAAUUUAGCCAGGACGCAGAGCACCAACACAUGCCUCGUAGACUUUUUUUUCAUUUUCUGUUUUUUUCCCCCAAGUGGAAAGAGUCUUUCGGCGGGUUUUCUUGUUCUUGGAAACCUAAAACCGGCCAGCGACUCGACUUAAACUGCGCUCGGGAGAUGAAAAGACAAUUGCCCGCGAAUGUUUGAAAGCGGGACAAAUCCAAGCACAGAAGGGACUUCGGAACGACUACGGAAUUGCUAACAUCGUUAACAAUUGCGUAGUUCCGGUUCCAAUGAAUAUCUGUCUGAUCUGAGGAUCGAAAAGUGUGGUCGCCCAUUCCGACUUUGUCCGUGGAAGAAGGCGGAAGCGGUUAGUGAUUUUGUACCGCGUGUUACCCGUGUUGAAGUGAGAUUAGAAAACUAGUAGUGCGAAUUAAUUGAUACGCUGAAGAAGUUAGAUACUCUCCAGUGCACCAGCAAACCUAAUUGGAGAAAAAGCCGCUUACUGACCCCACGUGCGAGGUCUGGAAGUUACCAUCAUACUCGUCAAUUCUGGUGGCCGCGCGGUGCGCUUACGCAAGACGGCACUCGCGCCAAAAGGGGAAACAGCACACAGUACGCAGCACGGAGCCAUCACUCGUCCGUGUGCGUACUCGAGAUUCAUUGUCCCGUUCAACGUCUGCAGCGAACGACGGUAAAGCAGAACCACGUAAA